AGGACGAACGCUGGCGGCGUGCCUAACACAUGCAAGUCGAACGCGCUCCAUUCGGUAGCAAUACUGAUGAAGAGCGAGUGGCGAACGGGUGAGUAGCACGUGAGCAACCUGCCCCGAAGACUGGGACAACACCGGGAAACCGGUGCUAAUACCGGAUAUCCCUAUCGGACCGCAUGAUCUGAUAAGGAAAUGGAUUCCGCUUCGGGAGGGGCUCGCGGCCUAUCAGCUAGUUGGUGAGGUAACGGCCCACCAAGGCAUCGACGGGUAGCUGGUCUGAGAGGACGAUCAGCCACACUGGGACUGAGACACGGCCCAGACUCCUACGGGAGGCAGCAGUGGGGAAUCUUGCGCAAUGGGCGAAAGCCUGACGCAGCAACGCCGCGUGGAGGACGAAGGCUUUCUGAGUUGUAAACUCCUUUCAGCAGGGACGAUAGUGACGGUACCUGCAGAAGAGCACCGGCAACUACGUGCCAGCAGCCGG
This 481-nucleotide ribosomal RNA is filed under the name uncultured bacterium. Its description in RNAcentral is "SSU rRNA". It matches the Rfam family "Bacterial small subunit ribosomal RNA", at positions 26 to 518 of the family's 1533-position model. The record is from RNAcentral.